CCCCCUGUAGCUCAGUUGGUUAGAGCAGAGGACUCAUAAUCCUUUGGUCGCUGGUUCAAGUCCAGCCGGGGGGACCA
RNAcentral lists this transfer RNA (77 nucleotides) under Advenella kashmirensis W13003. Its description in RNAcentral is "tRNA-Met". It matches the Rfam family "tRNA". From Rfam's summary of the family: Transfer RNA (tRNA) molecules are approximately 80 nucleotides in length. Lineage: Bacteria; Pseudomonadati; Pseudomonadota; Betaproteobacteria; Burkholderiales; Alcaligenaceae. The record is from RNAcentral.